GCCCGCCCGCGUCAGCUGACCUGGCUUCCGCGGGCCCUGCGCCCUCGCGCUCCCGGGCCCCGGCCGCCCCCACGCCCCACGCCGCGCCCGCCGGCCCGGCCCUCCCUCCCCAGCUGGCCCGGCCGCCGCGGCCUCUUCCGCCCGGCGCCCGCGCAUUCCUGCCAUUCCCCCGAGUCGGCCCGCGGGCUACGGCCGCCUGCGGAGCGCAGGAACCUUCACCUCCCGAGGACAGGCGCCUUCCCCUCGGGACCCGGCUCCCCUGCUGCCUGCGCCGCUCUGUCCCCCUGCCGCUGCCCAAGCCUCCAGCAGGGGCCACCGAGGGCUCCAGGAGCACCCCAGGCCCGUUCUUCUGGCCCACAGCGCCCCUCCUGUGACCCUCAGCGACCCUCCUGUCCUGCCCUCCGGCGGCGCGGCUGUCUGGAGACUCUGCACCGUCGCGGCCUCGCAGCCUCGCAGCCCCGCGCCGGGUGGGGAGGGGAGGGUGGCGUUCCUGAGUCCGCGGAGGAAAGGGUCGCAGCUGCAGUCGCGCCAGCCCUCGGGCCUACAUCCGCUCCGCCGCGACGCGGCUCACAAACUAGGGAGGGGAGAAGGGAAGAAAGACCCGAUUCGGGAACACGGCUUUGUCCCUGGAACUGUACCUCAUGUCCCCUCACUUAAUCCUCCCAAGACCUGUGGGGCGUGUCGUCAUUUUAGGGCUGGAGAUGAGGAAACCGAGGCUCGGAGAGAUGAAGCGUUGUACGGCCACCGAGCGGCUGCUUUGCAACGAAGCCAAAGCCAACGUUUUGUUCUUAGCGGCGGUCGUUUGAGCCACGCCUCACCGCAACGAGUCUGCCAUCAGCCAAGAGGUCACAUCUUUUCUGGAACUCGCUCCCCCCUCACAUCAUGGGAGCAGUCAGUCUACUCUUCCAGUAGAAACUGUUUUGCCACUUUUGGGGGGAAUCUUGAGCUACCAGCUCAUCGCUCAGGUCUUAGAUGACACUUUCCUUGACCCCACCGGGUGCUCCAGCGCCUCUGCUUCCGGUUUUCAUAGCCCUUAUAAUAUCACCUAUUGCAAUUGCCCAUUUCCUUGUCUGUCUCCCUCUGCAGAUGGAGUGAAGGUACCUGAGCGCAGGAACCAUGGUCUUCAUUGCUGCCUCAGCAUUAGCGGAAGUGCCACGGGCCGGCUCCCAGGGGGCCAGAGUUUCCCAGGAACACCAUUGAGUACCACUGAACUAGAGUCUGCAAGUUAAAGUAAGGCAAGAAGGAAAACCGGAAACAACUGUAAAAACCUGACCUUUCGUCACCUUAAUACUGGCCAUCAUUUAUCGAGUGCUUAUUAUGUAACAGACAUUGUUCUCAGUGUGUGAGUGCAGUGUUCCUCAAACCUAAAUGUGGGCCUGAAUCGCAGCGGAUCUUGGUAAAAUGCAGUUUCUCAUUCAGUACCUCUGGGGUGCGGCCUGAGAUUCUGCAUUUCCAACAAGCUCCCAGGAUACUUUGUAUAGAAAGGCUUUGGUGUAUUAACUAACUCGAUCUUCUUAAUAAUCCUAUGAAAUACUACUGCUAUUCCCAUUUUACAGAUGAGGAAACAGAGGUUAAGCAUAUAUGAACUUACAUCAAAAUAAAUAGACUGCAGGGCAAGGAGGGAGGGGAGAAUAGUGUGGGCAGUGUACAGUGCAGAAACAAAGUUCUAGGCAGAGGAAAAAGGAUUUACAGAAAGCCUGGCAUACAGGGCAGGGGGACGGGGCCUGCACACGGGGCUGUUUCACCGUUAGACGUUAUAAGCACAGUACUUGGGGCUAUGGGCUUCCUGAAGGUCCCAAGUAUUUGAGACCUGAAAAAAAUUUAUUGACACCUACAUAGGAAAAGUGAACUUUUAAAUUAAUAAUUCCAAAAUUCAAAUCACGAAUUGUUUCAAAAAUUUUACAUGAUAGAAUUCAUAUUUAGUAAGCGAUACGGGUAUAUUUUAAUGCAUUUGAUUUUAAAAACGGGGUAGGGCCUACUAAGAACAGGCCAAGCCCUGGCCCCAGUGGGUUUGGAUAUAAUCCUGAGGGCAGCUGGGAACCACUGAGAGAAGCAGGAGAAUGUUCUCUGUGGCUACAGUGAGGAGAAUGGAUUGGAGGGAGGCCAGACUGGAGGCCCAGUGGCUAGAGACCAGAUAGGCAGUUACAGUCUUCCAGACUGCGAGACAAUCUCUCUUUAGUGCCAAGAUUAGCAUAAAAUCAUAGCAUUAUAUAACCCAAUUAUUCUUUGAUUCCUGCAUCCCCAAUCUGACUCAGCAUUCUAAAUUUACUUAAGAUCUGGGGACAAGGGUUUUUGGCAAAUCCUUGAAGGCAAAUGAUGUUACAGUCAAUCAGUAUAUGCCUUGAGCCAGACAGACAUGGGUACGGGCCUCAGUUCUGCUGCUUGCUAGCUAUGUGACUUUGCACAAGUGAUUUAACUUCUCUGGGCCUUGGAUUCCUUACUGGUAACACGAGCAUAAUCGAUUCCUCACAGAAUUAAGUGAGAAAACUAUGUAUGUAGGACUUCUUAUGGAGUGGGUACUUAGAAAUAAAUGGUAGCCGUUAUCAUUUAUGUGCCUUUGUUCUGAAAUCUGCUUAAGUUUUCUCUAGGAAGUAACAGAGGGUAGAAUAAAUUAUUUAGUAUUUUCAUCAAUCUUCUGAGAUAAAAAUUAUUAUCCUCAUUUUGCAGAUAAGGAAAAGGGCUCAGAGAUUAGAUCACAGCUCUGUGAAGUAGGGGCACAAAGUGGUCAACCUGGAAGAGCUGGACUUUAUUUUGCUUGCACUUCUGUCCAUGCACUCUCUCCAGCAGUUGACAUUUGCCCUCUUUGAUGGCUCCACGACCAAUUUCCCUUAGUCAUGGCAUGAGUCAGCUGUGAGGGCUGAUGGCACACCACCGAAUACUCUGCUGUGGCGCCACUAGCCUCCAUUUACCUUCUUCUCCAACGUUUUCCAGCCUCCCUCAUACCUUGCCCCCCAGUUUUAUAGCUUCUGGAUUUUCCUUAUUAAAGAGCUUGUUUCUGAGACUCAGAACCGCCCCCGACUGGGAUGUCUUCCAGAGUACCUCCCUUUCAAGGGAGCAGAUAAGUAGGUCACAUCGGGAUGGCGAGGGAGGAAGCUGACUUCUUAUGGGAGGAGGAAAAAUACUGCAGGUCACAUGGAGAAUGGAAAACAAAAUAACAGGGUUUCUCUCUUUUCCUAAUUCUCUCACACAAUCUCACAGGGACAGCCCGCUGCCAGCCACUACUACUGUGACUAGCAUUCUGGAAACAGCACAGGCAGUACUGAUUUCUUGGACCUUGAGGACACUAGUGGCAACUUGAGGAUAAGCCUUGUCUACCCUGUGCUCCCCUCCAUCCUACCUGCCUCCUCUUCAGGCUACUCCAUAGCCCCCAGGAUAUUUUUUUCUCCUACGCAGUGAAGCGAAAUCUCAGCUUUUACAGGAGCGUCCACCUCUUGGACUGCCCCUUGAGGGCCUGAAAGCACAGAGCUCUGCAGGGAAGCUCUGUGGGGCAGGAGGGCACUGCCCGUGAGUGCCUGGAGCAGCCCAGGAUCCCAUUUACAGAGACUCCUUUGCAGCAACCGGGUUAGGUCAUGGGCUUUGCAAGAUUCCUGCUCCCCUUCCCAACCCUAGUGAAGGCAGUUCACAACAAGGAAUGUGGGUGAGCAUUAAAUUACGUAGAUCACCGUGAAAGCCAGAGAAAAAGAGGGACAGAGGAAGGGUGCGGCAUUAAAGAUCCAAUGCUACCAACCCCACCCUGCCCCACUAUCCCUUGGGACGGAGCCCUGUUUGAAUCAUAACACUGGGCGGUCACAUUUCUAGGAAACUGCAGCUGAAGAGGAAAGGUCCUGGUUGUGUGAGUGAGGCUGUGUACAGAUUAGGACUGAAAAUGUGUAUCCGGGCAGACAAUUGGUCUCUGGACUCCACACCCGAGGCACAAGACAAGCACACAAAACAAAAUGACCAAAGCCUGACCCCUCAAACCUGAGGGUAAACAAACCUGCUUCCCUGGACAAGGGUUGUGGAAACAGGGAGUUCACCUCUGGAGAGGCGCAGGGGUUUUCCAUUCUCCUGGCGUGGAGCCUGGUCAACUUCUAGCUCAGAGACUCGCUGUUCCAGGAUACUGGGAGCUCUUUCACAGAAGCUUGGAGGUGAUGCUGCAGACUUUGGGCUGGCACUCUCUCCCACCUGACUUCCACAUUGCCCCCUGCCCUCCCUACCCCUGUUCCCAAGGCCCUCAAACUGUUCAGGGGUGCCAGGCCCCUCUGUUCCUUCUCUUCCACCCCUGCAGAAGGCAUAUUCCCCCAUCCCUCAGGUGUCUGUGCCCAGGUGCCCCGUGGGAAAGCCCACUCUUGCCUUCAGUAGCUCUCUUCCCUCUCCUGAGACGCAAGGCUGGGUGACAGGAGACAGACAUUCAUCUUCACCCGAGCCCUUCAUUAUGCUUAAUCUUUCUAGUGGGGGUGGGCCUGUCAAACACGUCUCUUUCCUAGGUUGGAGUAAUCCCAAAGCACCUCUCAUCAUAGUGGCUGUAAAUCCCACAAGUAUGUGGCAUGCACAUAGUAGCACUGACAGUGUGGUGGUGCCCUGCACUGACAGUGUGGUGGUGCCCCACACUGAAACAAGAAGUUUGGACUUGAGAGGCUUAGAACCUUUGUCUUCUUAGAAAGUGACUGGCAGCUCCUCCUCCCUGGCACCUGCUCCAACCUGGGCCCCUUGAUCUGCUGACAUCUCUGCGUGACUCUGGGUGCGUUGCUUACUCCAGGUCUAGUGCAGGUGCUACAGGACUACCUGGGAGAAAGGAGCCAGUCUUGAAGUCUCCAUUUCUCCCAUACAUCAGUCACUUAACGGAUUUAAGUAAGACCUUAGUAUGCAUCGGGAUCACCAGGGGACUUGUGAAAAUACAGAUUGCAGAAACCCUCAUCUCCAGGGUUUCUGAUUUGGUGGGUCUAAGGAUUUGCAUUUCUAACAAGUGAUGGGGUGCUGCUGUUCCAGGGACCACAUUUGAAAACCACUGAGUUCGAGUAUAGCAAAAAGAAAACCUAGGUUUCAGUCCUGCCCUGCCGCUUCCAGGCUCUGUGGUCUUGUCUUUGACCUUCCUGAGCUUCACUUCUGCAUCCAUUAAUGGUGUAGUAAUGACCACUGGGUAGUUGGGAGGAUUCAUUUGCAUCAUGUGUUUGAAAGACCCUUUCACGGUGCAUGGCAAAUUGGAUACAUCAAUUAGUCAACAAAUACAUUUUUUUUUGGAUGGAAUUUCACUCUUGUCACCCAGGCUGGAGUGCAAUGGUGUGAUCCUCGGCUCACUGCAACCUCCGCCUCCUGAGUUCAAGCGAUUCUCCAGCCUCAGCCUCCCAAGUAGCUGGGACUAUAUGCACCCGCCACCACACCUGGCUAAUUUUUGUUUGUAUUUUUAGUAGAGACAGGGUUUCACCAUGUUGGCCAAGCUGGUCACAAACUCCUGACCUCAGAUGAUCCGCCUGCCUUGGCCUCCCAAAGUGUGGGGAUUACAGGCGUGAGCCACUGCGCCCGGCCUAACAAACACAUAUUUAUUGAGUAGUCUGUCUGUUGUUCAUUAGAUACCCAAUGCCAUGAAGAUUCUAAGGCCCAGUUAAACAUCACACGUCUCUGGACCUUGAUUUUUUCCUCUUUAAAACAAGGGCUAGACCCGUUCAUCGGGGAUGAACUGACCGAAUGAAUGGUCGUGUUCAUGAGUGUUCUUUGCUCUGCAGAGGCACCUGGGCUCUCAGAUAGAGGUCCAGGAAAGGCCUGGACAAGGAAUAAAACAUUUGGCUGUCACCUGCAAAUCUAAGCACCCCAUACUCCCAUCAGAGUUGGACUUCUGCACAGGACCUGGAAGGCCUAUUAGUCUAAUAAACCAAAUUUGGCCUUCAGGGUCCAUCAUGAUCUGAUUCCAACCUACCAUUACAAUCCUAUUUCUCACUUUUCUCUUCCUUUCACCUUAGAGUCUAAACAAAUCUAUCUACUCAUCCUUCCCCAGAUAUGCCCUGUGUUUUCCUGCCUCCAGCUUUUUGUUCACACUGUUUUCGGCACUAGAAUACUCUUGCACUAGUCAAAGUCCUAUUCAUCCUUUGCAGCUCAUUCAAUGACUAUAUUUUCAAAGAAGUCAUCCACCUAUCUAUCUAUCUAUCUGUCUAUCUAUCUAUCUAUCUAUCUAUCUAUCUAUCUAUCUCAAGUGAUUUUAUCUUUUUCUUUUUUUUUUUUCGAGACGGAGUCUCUGUCGCCCAGGCUGGACUGCAGUGGCGCGAUCUCGGCUCACUGCAACCUCCGCCUCCCGGGUUCAAGUGAUUCUCCUGCCUCAGCCUCCAGAGUAGCUGGGAUUACAGGCAUGCGCCACCACACUCGGCUAAUUUUUGUAUUUUUAGUAGAGACGGGGUUUUGCCAUGUUGGCCAGACUGGUCUCAAACUCCUGACCUCAGGUGAUCCGCCCACCUUGGCCUCCCAAAGUGUUGGGAUUACAGAUAUGAGCCACCGCGCCCAGCUGGGAUGUCACAUUUCUAGUCUUGGAGCAUAUUCAGAUACAAAAAAUAAGAGUUGUCCUAUGUAAAACUAUUAAAAAGUGGAACAGCCACUUAAAAGGAGAUGCCUACUUAUACAUAAUAGUCAUGUAUAAACUGUUUAUUUUUUAUGGUAAUCAGAAACAGUGAAUAUGUGUGUGUGUAUAUGUGUAUAUAUAUAUAUAUAUAUAUA
Molecule: long non-coding RNA, 6681 nt
Filed under: Homo sapiens (human)
Lineage: Eukaryota; Metazoa; Chordata; Mammalia; Primates; Hominidae
Description: non-protein coding lnc-B4GALNT3-2:11
Source: RNAcentral